Molecule: microRNA precursor, 86 nt
Filed under: Mustela putorius furo (domestic ferret)
Lineage: Eukaryota; Metazoa; Chordata; Mammalia; Carnivora; Mustelidae
Description: miRNA (ENSMPUG00000023294.1)
Source: RNAcentral
CACCUCGAGAACUUGUUAAAAAGAAAAUUCUAUAGACCGGAAAUGAGGUUGAAGAUUUUGCAUUUCUAGCAAGCUUCUAAGAGAUG